RNAcentral lists this transfer RNA (60 nucleotides) under Gelidium elegans. RNAcentral's name for it is "tRNA-His". It matches the Rfam family "tRNA", at positions 8 to 63 of the family's 71-position model. Rfam says of the family: Transfer RNA (tRNA) molecules are approximately 80 nucleotides in length. Their secondary structure includes four short double-helical elements and three loops (D, anti-codon, and T loops). The record is from RNAcentral. Lineage: Eukaryota; Rhodophyta; Florideophyceae; Gelidiales; Gelidiaceae.
UAGCCAAAAGGUUAAGGCAAUGGAUUGUGACUUCAUCAUUCGCGGGUUCGAAUCCCGUCA